UACGGAGGGGCUGAGCGUUGUUCGGAAUUACUGGGCGUAAAGCGCACGUAGGCGGCUUUGUAAGUUAGAGGUGAAAGCCCCAGGGCUCAACCCUGGAAUUGCCUUUAAGACUGCAUCGCUUGAACAUCGGAGAGGUAAGUGGAAUUCCGAGUGUAGAGGUGAAAUUCGUAAGAUAUUCGGAAGAACACAGUGGCGAAGGCGACUUACUGGACGAUUGUUGACGCUGAGGUGCGAAAGCGUGGGGAGCAAACAGG
Molecule: ribosomal RNA, 254 nt
Filed under: uncultured bacterium
Lineage: Bacteria
Description: partial 16S ribosomal RNA
Rfam family: Bacterial small subunit ribosomal RNA
Source: RNAcentral